GUGAAUCAUCGAAUUUUUGAACGCAAAUUGCACUUUCUGGUAUUCCGGAAAGUAUGCCUGUUUGAGGGUCAGUUAAAUAAAAAUCGGUGUUGUUGCUGCUUUUCGUGUUGACGCGUCGUAAUUGAGUUGUCUUACUUUCGGUUAAGUGAUUUAAAAUUUUCGCAUGAUUUUCGAACGUAUUUAAAUCGCUUAUGUACGUUUGAGAUAUUGAAUGUUUAUUAGGUUCGGUCAUUCCCAUUAUUCGCGCCUUUACUUUUUCAUUAAAUGACCUCAAAUCAGGUAAGACUACCUGCU
This 294-nucleotide unclassified non-coding RNA is filed under the name Glomus sp. RNAcentral describes it as "partial contains 5.8S ribosomal RNA, internal transcribed spacer 2, and large subunit ribosomal RNA". The stretch from base 1 to 71 matches the Rfam family "5.8S ribosomal RNA", at positions 84 to 154 of the family's 154-position model. The record is from RNAcentral. Lineage: Eukaryota; Fungi; Glomeromycota; Glomeromycetes; Glomerales; Glomeraceae.